GAUGCAGAUCUGGAUGUGGACGGUGAUGAUACUUUGGAAUAUGGAAAAGCACAAUACACAGAGGCGGAUGUGAUUCCCUGUUCAGGAAAUGAACCCAGAGAUGCAGAGGAGAGGCAGGCAUUAAGAGGAGCUGUUUUAAAUGGUGACACAGCUAGCAGGUUAUCUCCAGAGCAAACCAAGUUGGCAAACUCAG
Long non-coding RNA from Sinocyclocheilus rhinocerous, 193 nucleotides. RefSeq lists it as uncharacterized. The record is from RefSeq and is a predicted model, not a curated record. The transcript has 3 exons. Lineage: Eukaryota; Metazoa; Chordata; Actinopteri; Cypriniformes; Cyprinidae.